Molecule: long non-coding RNA, 1417 nt
Filed under: Sinocyclocheilus anshuiensis
Lineage: Eukaryota; Metazoa; Chordata; Actinopteri; Cypriniformes; Cyprinidae
Description: lncRNA (ENSSANG00000036942.1)
Source: RNAcentral
GUUAAACAAAGAGUUGGAUGAAUCAAAAUACAGAGAGAAUCAGUUAAACAAAGAGCUGAAUGAUUCCAAAGGCAGAGAGAAUCAGUUAGACAAAGAGUUUGAUAAAAUAAAAUGCAAAGAGAAUCAGUUAAACAAAGAGUUAGAUGAUUUUAAAGUCAGAGAGAAUCAGUUACACAAAGAGUUGGAUAAAUCAAAAUACAGAGAGAAUCAGUUAAACGAACAGUUGGAUGAAUCAAAAUACAGAGAGAUUCAGUUAAAUAAUGACAAAGAGAAACUUAAUCAAAGAGGUGUGAUUAAAUUAAAGAAAGUAAAAGUAAAAGUUAAAGAUGGUUUUCUGCUUAAAACAUUACACUCAAAAUGUAAUAAAACACAGAGAGAAAGAAUUACAUGCCAAAGAAAAAGAGCUGCAUGACAGAGAGAGAGAACUGGAUAGAAGAGUGAAGAAACUGGCUGACAGACAGAGAAAUCUGAAUGAAGUACAGAAGCAGCUGGAGAUCAGAGAGAGAGAAGUGAGACAGAGAGAUGUGCGAUCCAGUGAACAUCAUCAGACCACAGCAGAUACUCCCUCUGAAUGCGAAGGACAGCCGAAGAGCAGAGAUGAUUCACAAGCCAGUGAAUCUCUUGGUGGUGAGGGAUGGAAACAGCAAGGAUUUAGAGCAGGCUGGUCAACACAGAUGACUACAUAAUCUCUGAUCAUGUGAUUGAGCAUCUGGAUUGUGAGGUAUUCCACACUCACAGAGGGAAAUACGCUUCUGAGGACCGGCACUCUUCUGGAUCUCUCCUCUCCUGACUCAGAUGCUAGUUUGUGACUGAUUUUUAUAUGAGUAUCUGAAGCUGUUUACUGUUGUGGAUCUCCUGAAAAAAUCUCUAGAACAUGAUGAUAACAAACAGUUGUAUGUCCUAAGCUUGUUGUAAACUGGGAGCAUUGUAGGGAGGGGUGCUCUUUCUUUUGCACUAUCCUUUUCUCAUGUGUAUGAGUAGUGAGGGAGGUAAGACUAUGUUGUUCAUUUCUAUUUUCUUUUCUAGGUAAGAACUGGCAUCUAAGUUAGUUUGGUUUUUAUUUUGAGCAUGUUCCCCUCCUGAAGCCUUUUUGAUACUCCCUUCAUUAUAUUAAUAAACCUUUUCUUUUUGUUAAGAAGCCACUUGUGUGUUAAGUGCUUCAGUCCCUUGGAAACAGAAUAGAUGAAGACCAAGUUCCAAUGACAUACCUGUACAAACCUCUAUGAUGUCUAUCACUGUUUGCAUUUUGGCAUCAGUUCCUAUGAUGUUGUGGUGUCUGACAGCAUCUGUGUAGAAAGAUGCAUCAGUUAUGUUUAUAAAAGCCACAAAAAGCAAUUCUGAAUAGACAGUAUAUGAGCCAUUAACAGUGUCAAAAGAAAGUUAUAUGAAAUCAUGGUAUUGAUAUAAUUGAAACAGG